Paramisgurnus dabryanus is the source of this 271-nucleotide non-coding RNA. NCBI's taxonomy places the organism in Eukaryota, Metazoa, Chordata, Actinopteri, Cypriniformes, Cobitidae. The record is from RefSeq and is a predicted model, not a curated record.
AUUCCCAGCUACAGAGGGCAUCCUUUAUUCAGUCCCUAAUGCAGAUGGUUGGAGUGUUGAUCCACCUAACAUGAGGGAGCACUCGUUUUGAGUCCUGAAACCCUGGGGUGACCACCGUGAACAAAUACAGACUGCAAAAAGGCAGUCUUGACGGUACUAGGAUGAAUGCAAAUAAAGACUAACCACCUGACUUCAGAGGUCCAGUCUCUUGUGGGAAGCAGGUGUUUGUUACCCCAAAUACGGAUGAAGAGUGACGAAGAGGAUGAUGAUU